GCCUCCUUAGCUCAGCUGGUAGAGCAACUGACUUGUAAUCAGUAGGUCGGCGGUUCGAUCCCGUCAGGGGGCU
Molecule: transfer RNA, 73 nt
Filed under: Cyclobacteriaceae bacterium
Lineage: Bacteria; Pseudomonadati; Bacteroidota; Cytophagia; Cytophagales; Cyclobacteriaceae
Also listed under: 2 other names
Description: tRNA-Thr
Rfam family: tRNA
About the family: Transfer RNA (tRNA) molecules are approximately 80 nucleotides in length.
Source: RNAcentral